Long non-coding RNA from Heteronotia binoei (common prickly gecko), 280 nucleotides. RefSeq lists it as uncharacterized. The record is from RefSeq and is a predicted model, not a curated record. The transcript is spliced from 2 exons. Lineage: Eukaryota; Metazoa; Chordata; Lepidosauria; Squamata; Gekkonidae.
GAUUUGAAGACGGUUUAUGCCACAGCUCUGGAAUUUGGCACAGGGCCAGAGAGGGUCAGGUGACACCUCCUCAGUGUCCCCUCUGCCGGGUCUUUAAAGGGACGGGGCCAAGUGCACUCCCCAGGGAGAUCCUCGACUCCAACCGUCACAGCGAAUCUACCCAGUGGUUUUCACCAUGCCUGAACCAGCCAAACCCGCAGCAAAAAAGAAAGAAGUAAAGAAAAAAGAAGACCCAAAGGCAGCCAAGAAAGAGGAACCGAAAGAGGAGAAGAAACAGGAG